UGGGGAAUAUUGGACAAUGGGGGCAACCCUGAUCCAGCCAUGCCGCGUGUGUGAAGAAGGCCUUUUGGUUGUAAAGCACUUUAAGCAGGGAGGAGAGGCUAAUGGUUAAUACCCAUUAGAUUAGACGUUACCUGCAGAAUAAGCACCGGCUAACUCUGUGCCAGCAGCCGCGGUAAUACAGAGGGUGCGAGCGUUAAUCGGAAUUACUGGGCGUAAAGCGAGUGUAGGUGGCUCAUUAAGUCACAUGUGAAAUCCCCGGGCUUAACCUGGGAACUGCAUGUGAUACUGGUGGUGCUAGAAUAUGUGAGAGGGAAGUAGAAUUCCAGGUGUAGCGGUGAAAUGCGUAGAGAUCUGGAGGAAUACCGAUGGCGAAGGCAGCUUCCUGGCAUAAUAUUGACACUGAGAUUCGAAAGCGUGGGUAGCAAAACAGGAUUAGAUACCCUGGUAGUCCACGCCGUAAAACGAUGUCUACUAGCCGUUGGGGUCCUUGAGACUUUAGUGGCGCAGUUAACGCGAUAAGUAGACCGCCUGGGGGAGUACGGCC
This 544-nucleotide ribosomal RNA is filed under the name uncultured bacterium. RNAcentral describes it as "partial 16S ribosomal RNA". It matches the Rfam family "Bacterial small subunit ribosomal RNA", at positions 355 to 887 of the family's 1533-position model. The record is from RNAcentral.